Pseudophryne corroboree (corroboree frog) is the source of this 448-nucleotide long non-coding RNA. RefSeq lists it as uncharacterized. The record is from RefSeq and is a predicted model, not a curated record. The transcript is spliced from 3 exons. NCBI's taxonomy places the organism in Eukaryota, Metazoa, Chordata, Amphibia, Anura, Myobatrachidae.
UGGAGAGCGUGGCGUGUGCUGGCAGACAAAACGCAGAGCAGAAGAGGAGAUGUAAGCUGGAGAGAGCUGCAGGACGCUGCUCGAUGAGAGCAGCGGAGUGUUACUGGAGAGCGGGUGUUGAGAUGCCGCAGCCAGAGGACCGGACACCGCCAGGCCUGGUAAUGGGUGCGGAUGCCAUGGCCAUCUUGAGAGUGACGAGCCAUUACAGUGGGAACAGCCAACUUGAAAUUCCGUUUCCUGGAUCUGAUACCUCUUUGAGCACAGUACUACGAGACAAGGUACGAGGAACAACAUUUCAUGGGAAAGGACCAAAGGUUGUGAAGAAGAGUGGCUGAGAAGUAUCCACAUUUUGGACACAUGCCUGUCUCCUCAGGAAUAAAAUUACUCCUUCGGCUUUCAGAAAUAUGUGCGCUAUAAAUGAUAUUGAUAUGAAGCUCUUGAAGUGUUG